Molecule: ribosomal RNA, 497 nt
Filed under: uncultured bacterium
Lineage: Bacteria
Description: partial 16S ribosomal RNA
Rfam family: Bacterial small subunit ribosomal RNA
Source: RNAcentral
GAUGAACGCUGGCGGCGUGCCUAAUACAUGCAAGUCGAGCGAACAGACGAGGAGCUUGCUCCUCUGACGUUAGCGGCGGACGGGUGAGUAACACGUGGAUAACCUACCUAUAAGACUGGGAUAACUUCGGGAAACCGGAGCUAAUACCGGAUAAUAUAUUGAACCGCAUGGUUCAAUAGUGAAAGACGGUUUUGCUGUCACUUAUAGAUGGAUCCGCGCCGCAUUAGCUAGUUGGUAAGGUAACGGCUUACCAAGGCAACGAUGCGUAGCCGACCUGAGAGGGUGAUCGGCCACACUGGAACUGAGACACGGUCCAGACUCCUACGGGAGGCAGCAGUAGGGAAUCUUCCGCAAUGGGCGAAAGCUUGACGGAGCAACACCGCGUGAGUGAUGAAGGUCUUCGGAUCGUAAAACUCUGUUAUUAGGGAAGAGCAAAUGUGUAAGUAACUAUGCACGUCUUGACGGUACCUAAUCAGAAAGCCACGGCUAACUACGUG